This 298-nucleotide long non-coding RNA is filed under the name Mustela putorius furo (domestic ferret). Its description in RNAcentral is "lncRNA (ENSMPUG00000031280.1)". Lineage: Eukaryota; Metazoa; Chordata; Mammalia; Carnivora; Mustelidae. The record is from RNAcentral.
GCAGAAGCAACCCAGGGGUCCACCGACAGAGGAACGGAUCGACAAAAUGUGCCACAGCAUUCUGUUGGCUUUACAUCGGAUUCUGAGCCACGUGAAACAGAGCAGCUCUUUUCUGUGUAUCCAGCUCCAAAGAAUGCAGCGUCGCUCUCAGCUCCCAGCUUCCAAGGAAACAGGUCUGCUGUCGGUUCCUGUUUUGCACUCAGCAUGCGAGGUUCCUAAGCAGGGGCUCUAAACAUUUUCCAAGAGGACAGUUCUUCCUGCUCCUUGAGGGGGAAGAUGUUUUUGAAUUAAAGAUGGA